Molecule: non-coding RNA, 136 nt
Organism: Pelobates cultripes (western spadefoot toad)
Lineage: Eukaryota; Metazoa; Chordata; Amphibia; Anura; Pelobatidae
Source: the annotation of a GenBank genome assembly
CCUUUAAGCGGUUGUUUAGCUUCUGCAUGUAUUUAUAUAUAUAUAUAUAUAUAUAUAUAUAUAUAUAUAUAUAUAUAUAUAUAUAUAUAUAUAUAUAAAUAUAAAUACAUGCAGAAGCUAAACAACCGCUUAAAGG